AAAUUUCCAGCCUUAAAUCUAAUAUUUUUAUCAUUUGAAAGAAGACCUCCAUAGUUGCCAUAAGGUUCAUCAUUGUUGCCCCUUUGUUGUCUCUCAAGUAAGUAUUUUGUUCCGUUUUCUUAUCAAAAUUUUUUAUAAAAAAACCAUUGUUCUAGAUCUGGAAUUUUGAUGAUUUUUAAUGAUUUAAAUGAUAAAUUUCCAGCCUUCAAAUUUAUUUUUAUUAAGCUCUCAAAGCAGCCCCAAAAUUGUUGUCGUUGGUGGUGGUUGACGCCCCUAAAGUCUUUCUUUUUGUGGCUGUCGUUUGGAUCCUUAAAGUCGAUUUAAAAUAAUGAUUCCAACCUUUAUUUAAUUUUCUUUUAAAGAAUAAAAUAUAUCCUUUUCAGCCCUAAAACAAAUCUCUUUGGUGUUUUUCAAAACAGUCCCCUUCGUAGCCAAUUUUGGUGAAUUGUCGCUCUUAGAUCUACCAUUAGGGGGCUGCCGAUUUUUAUUAUUUUUACCACUUAUUUCCAGAAAGGUUUAAUAUGAUAAACCACUUCCUAAUCAACCUUUAAUCAUUUAUUAUUUAUGAAAAUUUGAUCUUAAUCAUUCGGCAACUCAGAUCUGACAAAUCGGGAAGCGUAAGUGCAGUUGUUUGCAGGUUAUUGGGUAGUAUCGAUUCUAUUGUUAAGGGGUUUGUUGGUUGGAUAAAUUGGGGUUAAUUUAUGGUUUUUUAGCUACUUAAUUUUAUUAUUUUAUCGUGUUAGUGUCUGAUUUAAAUGUCCCAGACCAACAGUGAAGCCGUUAGUCGUCCGCGCUCACGAUUCGCAUAGAAUUAGUGUAACUAGUCUAGUCAAUUUGGAUCUGAAAGUUGGUUGUUGUAACACUAACUUGAUCAAAACCUUAGAGGGUGUCUUAUGACUGAUUUAGCAGCAGUUUAUCGAUAAAUUUUGUAUUUUAGCUUAGGUUCAAUUUAAGUCUAAAUGUGGAAUCGUGGGUUUGCAAGUAGUGCUACAGUUGUGCGAAAUUAAGGUAUGGGUUCUAACCUGUAAACUUGAAUGUUUAAAAAUAUUUUUAGUGAUUAAAUAGAUGUUUAAGAUUGCUGUCCGGGCUGAGUUAAAUGGCUAAGUAAGUGAUUUUAAGGUGGCCGAAUCAGGUACGUUUCGAGCCCCAGCUAAAUUGCAUGUUCGCAAAGUUGCAUGGUUGACUGAUUGUUUGUAUGACUAGUAUUGGUAUGAAAUAACAUGAAUGGUUUGAAUAUAUAAUGUAUGUUAGAUUUAUGUAUAGUGCAUGUUAAAAUGAAAAUAAAGAUUGAAUGCAUGAAAUGUAUGCUUGAGUGAAAUGUUAUGAAAUGUACUCAUGGAAAGCUUGAUCUAUAGGCACUGAAAGUUGUUUACGAAAUGAAAGACUUGAUAAAAGACACCACUGUGAGGGAAUGAAUGUUAAUGAAGGCGUGUAAUUCAUGCCACUGAAAUGUGAUUAUGAUGAAGACAUGAUCUUGCUUGCAUUUUGUAUGAUGCAAUGCAUGUGCGUAAAGUGAGAUAUUGUGGAUGAUGGAGGAGAUUCGUGGAGUAAUGGUGACAUAUUAAGACCCAAUUUAUGUUGUAAGUGCACUGCACUAGGAGUAAUGAAGAGAAUAAUGAUUAUAUCACAUUUUAAAUUCCAUUAUAACUACAUUACGUAUAAUGGUGGUUUAACCACAUCGAGCUUAGCUCACAAUGUUUGGAGUUUGGCAGACGGGUUCUGGGAACUCGUGGUGUGUAGCGGAUGGUUGGGUAGGAUUCUUUAUGCAUUUCAUUAUGUUUGACUAAUGUUUGUAUGGUUAAUUGACUGUUUCUACUGUUUAGACUCACACAAAGCUAGUUAGCUCACCCCAUAGUUUCAAACAUCUCAGGUAAGUUAUUUGGACUGUUCUUAAGGCUAAGUUCAGACACGACAUGCGAACACACAACGUACUUCGGACUAAUAAUUUGUUCUGCUUCAUUUUUACUUAAAUUUAUUUGGUUU
This 1983-nucleotide long non-coding RNA is filed under the name Gossypium raimondii (Peruvian cotton). RNAcentral describes it as "long non-coding RNA (GRAI_LNC008267)". The record is from RNAcentral. Lineage: Eukaryota; Viridiplantae; Streptophyta; Magnoliopsida; Malvales; Malvaceae.